ACAAGUUCACUUACUAUCAAAAAAUUUAGCGGACAAGGUCACUUCCACGAACUUCUUUUUUCCCUCUCUCUAUCCCGGUUUCUCCUCUGCCCCCUUUCUGUCAAUGUUUUCUUUCUUCUUCGGACACUGAAUAUUUGGCGUGACCGUCUCCUUUUUCUGGGACUCUUUUUUAUUUCAAUGCUUCCAGCAAAAGACCAGAGACACCAACCCUUUACUGUAAAAUUACAAGUCCAACC
Molecule: long non-coding RNA, 236 nt
Filed under: Eucalyptus grandis
Lineage: Eukaryota; Viridiplantae; Streptophyta; Magnoliopsida; Myrtales; Myrtaceae
Description: long non-coding RNA (EGRA_LNC002957)
Source: RNAcentral